UACGGAGGGUGCAAGCGUUAUCCGGAUUCACUGGGUUUAAAGGGUGCGUAGGAGGGCAGGGAAGUCCGUGGUGAAAUCUCCGAGCUUAACUCGGAAACUGCCGUGGAUACUCUCUGUCUUGAAUCCCGUGGAGAUGAGCGGAAUAUGUCAUGUAGCGGUGAAAUGCUUAGAUAUGACAUAGAACACCAAUUGCGAAGGCAGCUCACUAUACGAAUAUUGACACUGAGGCACGAAAGCGUGGGGAUCAAACAGG
Molecule: ribosomal RNA, 253 nt
Filed under: uncultured bacterium
Lineage: Bacteria
Description: partial 16S ribosomal RNA
Rfam family: Bacterial small subunit ribosomal RNA
Source: RNAcentral